Picea glauca (white spruce) is the source of this 121-nucleotide non-coding RNA. The record is from Rfam. Lineage: Eukaryota; Viridiplantae; Streptophyta; Pinopsida; Pinales; Pinaceae.
ACAUGCCUACAAAAUAGUGUUAAUGCAUCAUAUUCCAUUAGAAAUCUGCAAUUAAGUGCACUCGGGAUAGAGUAGUACUGGGAUGGGUGAUUUCCUGGGAAGUCCUAAUAUUUUACAUGCC